UUGACCUCGGAUCGGGCAGGGAUACCCGC
This 29-nucleotide ribosomal RNA is filed under the name Leptogium sp. RNAcentral describes it as "partial 28S ribosomal RNA". Lineage: Eukaryota; Fungi; Ascomycota; Lecanoromycetes; Peltigerales; Collemataceae. The record is from RNAcentral.